This is a long non-coding RNA of Ictalurus punctatus (channel catfish), 1248 nucleotides long. RefSeq lists it as uncharacterized. The transcript is spliced from 3 exons. The record is from RefSeq and is a predicted model, not a curated record. NCBI's taxonomy places the organism in Eukaryota, Metazoa, Chordata, Actinopteri, Siluriformes, Ictaluridae.
CACGUGUCCAGAUGUCACUACUGUCAACAACGGAAAAGCAGGUGCUCGCGCAUUCGCGCUUAGAGCACGCUGCUUCAAGGGGAAAUCAUGACACUCGAUGACUUUGCUUAGAUCCGGUAAAGCGGAUUUAGACUUGCCCGUGGCCAGAAAUAAAGAAAUGAUUGCUGGUGACUUUCUGAGAAAAGCUCACCGACUCACCAGCAGCUGCGUGGAAAUGGGAAAGUGCGUCGGCCAGGUGUCCGGCAGCCAGGAGCUUCUUCCCCAUCUCCAGGUGUAGGAAUAUGAAGGCUUGGCUACAAUGAUGUUUAAAGAAGAUAACCACAGCGCAGGACAUGGUUUCCUCACAUGCAUAUGAUAAAAUCAGCUGCUGAUUUGGUCUUUUUAAUGUGUUCUCACUGAACAUGAGACUAGUUAAGCAAUGAAGGCAAUACAUCCCAGACCAUAAUAUUUUCUGGACACAGCUUGGACACACUUUAUUUGAACUUCCAAUACACCAGGCACAAGAACAGUUUCUUUCCAGAGGCCUUCAUUCAUGGCCCUUAAAGAGUAUUCUUAAUCUUCAAUACAAUGUCACUGUAACCUGUGAUAUACAUAUCAGUUAUUGUAUAAACGAUUACAAUUAUUUAUUAUACAUAUUUUUUGCAUUUAGCAAUUUCAUUAUUUACAUAUAAGUCAUAUAUUACAAGGAACAACUCCAAUUUAUUGUUGUUGUUUUGUUGUGUUUAUCUAGGCAAGUUAAUAUUAACUAUGUAAACACAACAAAACAACAACAACCAUAAAUUGGUUAUAGAUAUUGCGAUAAAUUAGGUCACAAUACACUUUUCUAUGAUGUUGUAGGUAAGGUGAUAUCCAUCCAUCCAUCCAUCCAUCUUCAAUACCACUUAUCCUUCAGGGUCACGGGGAACCUGGCGCCUAUCCCAGGGAGCAUCGGGCACAAGUAUAUCCAUUCAUACACUACGGACACUUUUAGACAUGCCAAUCAGCCUGCCAUGCAUGUCUUUGGACUGGGGGAGGAAACCAGAGUACCCGGAGGAAACCCCCACAGCACGGGGAGAACAUGAAAACUCCGCACACACAGGGCCGCAGUGGGAAUCGAGCCCCCGACCCCGGAGUGAGGCGAACGUGCUAACCGUUAAGCCACCAUCCACCUGGUAUUGUGAUAUCUUUUUUUAGUAAUUACAAAAUAAAUAGAAUUGAAUGAAAGCAGCUAAUUAUAUGUAAAUUUGCUGAUGUUUUUAAAAAGCCUAA